This 266-nucleotide long non-coding RNA is filed under the name Sinocyclocheilus anshuiensis. Its description in RNAcentral is "lncRNA (ENSSANG00000028286.1)". The record is from RNAcentral. Lineage: Eukaryota; Metazoa; Chordata; Actinopteri; Cypriniformes; Cyprinidae.
GGUUUUCGAGGCAAACCUGGUGCUCCUGGACUACCUGGUGAUCCUGGUCCACGUGGGAUACAAGGCCCUAAAGGAUCCAAAGGAGAACAGGGUCAGAAGGGUAAACGGGGUCAGCAGGGAGAGCGUGGCAGCAGAGGCUCACCGGUAAGAGGACACAACUCUUUCAUUUUAGUAGUAGUAAGAAAUACAGGGCUAAUAUAAACUCAGAUUUCAAAGAAAUUAUCACUGCCAAAGUCAUGGAUUUAGUUCCCAAGCAGCAAACAGAC